RNA transcript from Triticum aestivum (bread wheat), 1471 nucleotides. RefSeq lists it as uncharacterized. Lineage: Eukaryota; Viridiplantae; Streptophyta; Magnoliopsida; Poales; Poaceae. The record is from RefSeq and is a predicted model, not a curated record. The transcript has 3 exons.
AGAAAACCACCACACCCCACUCGGCUGCCCCGAUCCCCACCUCCUCCCUCGAUUCCCUCCGCCGAACGCCAGAUCUCACCGCCGACGCCCCCACGACCCGCCUCGCCGCUGCCACUCCUCCUCCGCCGUCAAUGCGCUCCCUCCCCACGGCCGGCGCGCUCCCACCCGACGGCUGGCGCGGUCCCUCCCCGGCCGGCGCACUCCCUUCCCGCGGCUGGCACGGUCCCUCCCUGCAGCCAGCGCCCAUCCUCCUCCGCGACCGGCGCGGUCCCUCCCUGCUGCAACCCGCCAAUGCUCCUCUGCGGCCGGUGCGGUCCCUCCCGGCUACAACCUGCUAAUUCUCAUCCGCGACCGGCACGGUUCCUCACCGCUGCAGCCCGCCCCUCCUCCAUAGAUGGCCUGCACCGGCUGCUACAGUCCCUCCCCGGCCGGCGCACUCCCUUCCCGCGGCUGGCACGGUCCCUCCCUGCAGCCAGCGCCCAUCCUCCUCCGCGACCGGCGCGGUCCCUCCCUGCUGCAACCCGCCAAUGCUCCUCUGCGGCCGGUGCGGUCCCUCCCGGCUACAACCUGCUAAUUCUCAUCCGCGACCGGCACGGUUCCUCACCGCUGCAGCCCGCCCCUCCUCCAUAGAUGGCCUGCACCGGCUGCUACAGCCCAUCCAGGUGGUGGCCGUCAUCCUUGAUCCCGAUCCACAUCUGCCUGGGCUUCUAUGGCUGACCUGCCCAAUCACCGAUGGAUUCCUUCUCCAAACAGUACAAGAGCUACUCCCACUCUGCCUCCGACCUCCCUCCUCCCCCACAUGGCGAGUGUACUGCUCCCUACAACGCCCAUACCAUUCUUUCUCCCCUGGAUGCAUCUGGUCUCUCUUCAAUUACCGGUCAGCACCAAUGCUGCGAACAAAAAAAGGGCCCUGUGAUAGGGCAUCCAUCUCUUUUCAUCAAAGUCGCCGUCGUCCAUCUGCGUCGAGGCCACCCUGCCAGUGUAAAAUUCUGCUCUCAAAGGUGUCUGUUAUUGUGUAGUUUCAGAAAUCCUUCAGGAAAAAAAGAAAAAGAAAAAUGGAGCAGGAGUCAGAGGCCUCAAGCCCUCUCUCCACUUCGUGGCUUCUUGUUCUCAAAGCACAAGCUGCUCUUGCUACUAUUAGUAAACUACUUCUGCUCACUAUAAUGGCUGAGGGGCGUUGCCCAACUACGUGGAUGCUCGCCUGCUCACCGAGCGUCGCUGUAGUCCACCCCGAAGCCGUCAGCAGGAGGAGGUUGCACCAGUCCCGCCUCUCCUUCGUCCAGUGCUCCAAGAGGCCAGGGCAGAAAAAUCGGUCAUCUUCUGAUGAGCCCUGCCCCAACAGGAACCUCUCUCUACCUCUCUCAGCUACUAAUGGACACUAUAGUGUGAAGUUGAUGUAGAGAACAAGUUCUGAUUAUGUGCUCUGUACAUGCUUGUUGAUAUGUCAAUGAGAACCAACUUUUUUUCUUUA